RNAcentral lists this ribosomal RNA (561 nucleotides) under uncultured bacterium. RNAcentral's name for it is "bacterial SSU rRNA". It matches the Rfam family "Bacterial small subunit ribosomal RNA", at positions 338 to 916 of the family's 1533-position model. The record is from RNAcentral.
CCUACGGGAGGCAGCAGUGGGGAAUAUUGGACAAUGGGCGAAAGCCUGAUCCAGCAAUGCCGCGUGAGUGAUGAAGGCCUUCGGGUCGUAAAGCUCUUUUACCAGGGAUGAUAAUGACAGUACCUGGAGAAUAAGCUCCGGCUAACUCCGUGCCAGCAGCCGCGGUAAUACGGAGGGAGCUAGCGUUGUUCGGAAUUACUGGGCGUAAAGAGUACGUAGGCGGUUAUUCAAGUCAGAGGUGAAAGCCCGGGGCUCAACCCCGGAACUGCCUUUGAAACUAGAUAACUAGAGUCUUGGAGAGGUUAGUGGAAUUCCGAGUGUAGAGGUGAAAUUCGUAGAUAUUCGGAAGAACACCAGUGGCGAAGGCGACUAACUGGACAAGUACUGACGCUGAGGUACGAAAGCGUGGGGAGCAAACAGGAUUAGAUACCCUGGUAGCCCACGCCGUAAACGAUGAUAACUAGUUGUUCGGUCACUUGGUGACUGAGUGACGCAGCUAACGCAUUAAGUUAUCCGCCUGGGGAGUACGGUCGCAAGAUUAAAACUCAAAGGAAUUGACGG